AUGACUUUGAUCUCCGUCCUCAUCUGGACUCUCCUCUGCUGCUGCUUCACAGAGUCCAGAGGCCAGUGCACAGUGACUCAGCCUGCAGCAGUGACAUCAACUCCAGGAGGAUCUGUCACUAUCAGAUGCAGGACCAGUCAGAAUGUUUAUGUUGAGAGCAACAAACACCAUUUAUCCUGGUUCCAACAGCGAAACGAAGAAACUCCUAAACGUCUCAUUUACUAUGCUACCACUCGAGCAUCAGGUAUUCCAGGUCGUUUUACAGGCAGUGGAUCAAACUCUGACUUCACUCUGACCAUCAGUGGAGUUCAGGCUGAAGAUGCAGCAGUUUAUUACUGUCUGAGUGAAUUCACUUUCAGUACUGGUUGUACAUUCACACAGUGA
Molecule: non-coding RNA, 384 nt
Organism: Scomber scombrus (Atlantic mackerel)
Lineage: Eukaryota; Metazoa; Chordata; Actinopteri; Scombriformes; Scombridae
Source: the annotation of a RefSeq genome assembly